Molecule: ribosomal RNA, 494 nt
Filed under: uncultured bacterium
Lineage: Bacteria
Description: partial 16S ribosomal RNA
Rfam family: Bacterial small subunit ribosomal RNA
Source: RNAcentral
GACGAACGCUGGCGGCGUGCUUAACACAUGCAAGUCGAACGGUGAAGCGCCUUCCUUUUUGGUGGGUGUGGAUGAGUGGCGAACGGGUGAGUAACACGUGAGUAACCUGCCCCCUUCUUCUGGAUAACCGCAUGAAAGUGUGGCUAAUACGGGAUAUUCUGGGUCUGUCGCAUGAUGGGUCUGGGAAAGAUAUUGUUUCGGUGGGGGAUGGGCUCGCGGCCUAUCAGCUUGUUGGUGGGGUGAUGGCCUACCAAGGCGGUGUCGGGUAGCCGGCCUGAGAGGGUGGACGGUCACACUGGGACUGAGACACGGCGCAGACUCCUACGGGAGGCAGCAGUGGGGAAUAUUGCACAAUGGGCGCAAGCCUGGUGCAGCGACGCCGCGUGAGGGAUGGAGGCCUUCGGGUUGUGAACCUCUUUCGCCAGUGAAGCAGGCCUGCCUCGUUUGUGAGUGGGUUGACGGUAGCUGGAUAAGAAGCGCCGGCUAACUACGUG